GUGGCGGACGGGUGAGGAACGCGUGAGAACCUGCCUCAAGGUCGGGGACAACAGUUGGAAACGACUGCUAAUACCGGAUGAGCCUUCGGGUAAAAGAUUUAUCGCCUAGAGAGGGGCUCGCGUCUGAUUAGCUAGAUGGUGAGGUAAAGGCUUACCAUGGCGACGAUCAGUAGCUGGUCUGAGAGGAUGAGCAGCCACACUGGGACUGAGACACGGCCCAGACUCCUACGGGAGGCAGCAGUGGGGAAUUUUCCGCAAUGGGCGAAAGCCUGACGGAGCAAUACCGCGUGAGGGAGGAAGGCUCUUGGGUUGUAAACCUCAAAACUUAGGGAAGAAAAAAAUGACGGUACCUAAUGUAAGCAUCGGCUAACUCCGUGCCAGCAGCCGCGGUAAUACGGAGGAUGCAAGCGUUAUCCGGAAUCAUUGGGCGUAAAGAGUCCGUAGGUGGCACUUCAAGUCUGCUUUCAAAGACCGAAGCUCAACUUCGGAAAGGGAGUGGAAACUGAAGAGCUAGAGUAUAGUAGGGGUAGAGGGAAUUCCUAGUGUAGCGGUGAAAUGCGUAGAGAUUAGGAAGAACACCAGUGGCGAAGGCGCUCUACUGGGCAUAUACUGACACUGAGGGACGAAAGCUAGGGGAGCGAAAGGGAUUAGAUACCCCUGUAGUCCUA
Molecule: ribosomal RNA, 668 nt
Filed under: uncultured Chroococcales cyanobacterium
Lineage: Bacteria; Bacillati; Cyanobacteriota; Cyanophyceae; Chroococcales
Description: bacterial SSU rRNA
Rfam family: Bacterial small subunit ribosomal RNA
Source: RNAcentral